GAUGAAGAACGCAGUGAAAUGCGAUAAGUAAUGUGAAUUGCAGAAUUCAGUGAAUCAUCGAAUUUUUGAACGCACAUUGCGCCCGUCAGUAUUCUGGCGGGCAUGCCUGUUCGAGCGUCAUUACGCCCCUCAAGUCCCCUGUGGACUUGGUGUUGGGGAUCGGCGAGGCUGGUUUUCCAGCACAGCCGUCCCUUAAAUUAAUUGGCGGUCUCGCCGUGGCCCUCCUCUGCGCAGUAGUAAAACACUCGCAACAGGAGCCCGGCGCGGUCCACUGCCGUAAAACCCCCCAACUUUUUAUAGUUGACCUCGAAUCAGGUAGGACUACCCGCUGAACUUAAGCAUAUCAAUAAGCGGAGGA
RNAcentral lists this unclassified non-coding RNA (358 nucleotides) under soil metagenome. Its description in RNAcentral is "partial contains 5.8S ribosomal RNA, internal transcribed spacer 2, and large subunit ribosomal RNA". The stretch from base 1 to 120 matches the Rfam family "5.8S ribosomal RNA", at positions 35 to 154 of the family's 154-position model. The record is from RNAcentral.